GUGGAUGUCGGAUUCACACACUCAAGUAUUUUUAUUAAGUAGGAAAGAUUACUCUUGAGGGACAAAAAUAAAUAUGCAAAAAGCUUAUGAAUUGCUACAAAAAUUGCUAUAGUAUUUCUUACUCGAGAGGAAGAUCCCCUUUACAUGGCCAUUGGCCUUUAUAUUUAUACAUAGAAAAACGAUAUUUAAAUGGCUAAUU
RNAcentral lists this long non-coding RNA (199 nucleotides) under Arabidopsis lyrata. RNAcentral's name for it is "long non-coding RNA (ALYR_LNC000987)". The record is from RNAcentral. Lineage: Eukaryota; Viridiplantae; Streptophyta; Magnoliopsida; Brassicales; Brassicaceae.